Molecule: ribosomal RNA, 2634 nt
Filed under: Triticum aestivum (bread wheat)
Lineage: Eukaryota; Viridiplantae; Streptophyta; Magnoliopsida; Poales; Poaceae
Description: partial small subunit ribosomal RNA
Source: RNAcentral
AUGCCAUGCAAGAAGCAUUUCAUCAUCACCACUGAAAAAACUUUUACUAGUUUGGAUGUUGUGCUUGGCUCCAUAGUGCCAUGGCCGCUCAGCACCCACUCUAUACAUUUCCAGCCUCUGCACAACAACAACCACAACAGCAAGCCUUUGCACGUACGCUCUCGCCACCUUCAGUUCACCAUGCCCCCCUUCCUAGUUGCCUUCACCGUCCUCUUGUGCCUACGCACCCCGACCAGUUCUGCCGUGACGGACACCAUCUUGGCCGGCCAAGCGCUCGCCGUCGACGACAAGCUCGUCUCCAGCAAUGGCAGGUACGCGCUCGGCUUCUUCCAGACCAGACACACUGCCAACUGGUACCUGGGCAUAUGGUUCAACACAAUCCCCAAGUUCACUUCAGCAUGGGUUGCAAAUAGGGAUAGACCCAUCAAGAACACCACCUCACUGGAGCUCACAAUCUCCCACGACGGCAACCUUGUCAUCUUAAACCGGUCUGCCAAAUCCAUAGUCUGGUCUACACAAGCAAACAUCACAAGAAAUAGCUCUGCUGCUAGGCUGUUGAGCAGUGGAAAUCUCAUCCUGACAGACUCUUCGGACUCAUCACAGGUUCUAUGGCAGAGCUUUGAUCACCCCACAGAUACAUUUUUCCCUGGGGCGAAACUUGGAUGGGACAAGGUCACCGGCCUGAAUCGCCGUUUGGUUUCUUGGAAAAACAUAAUCGACCCAGCUACCGGUGUGUACUGUGAGCAGUUAGACCCCAGUGGCAUUAACCAGGUAUUUCUUGUAGCAUUGAACUCAUCCACACACUACUGGUCCACCGGUGUGUGGAACGGCCAAUAUUUCACUGCAAUUCCAGAGAUGUCAGCCGCCCACUAUAUUAGUCCAAAAUUUGUCGACAACGACCGUGAGAAGUACGUGACAUAUGAUUUAGUAGAUGAAUACAUGGAUCCAAAUAUGGUUACUCGUCAUGUAGUUGACGUCUCAGGUCAAAUAAAGGCAUUCAUUUGGAUGAAGGGCUUAGAGGAUUGGCUAAUGGUCAAUACCCAACCAAGAGCUCAGUGUGAUGUCCAUGCAAUUUGCGGUCCUUUCACAAUUUGCACUGAUAAUGAAGUGCCACACUGCAAUUGUAUGGUGGGCUUCAAGAUAACAUCGCCUAAGGAUUGGGAGCUAGAAGAUCGGGCGGGUGGGUGCUCGAGAAAUACUCAGUUAGACUGCAUUAGCAACAAAAGCACAACACACACCACAGACAAGUUCUAUUCUGUGCCAUGUGUUAAACUGCCCCAGGAUGUCCCAAAAGUAGAAGCUGCUGCAAGCACGAAUGAGUGCGCACAGGUUUGCCUCAGUGAUUGCUCUUGCACAGCAUACUCCUUUGGCAACAAUGGAUGUUUCAUGUGGCAUAAUGAAUUGCUCAACAUAAGAGCACUAAAAUGCAGUGGCACUACUACUUCAAAUGGAGAAACUCUUCACCUUCGUCUUUCUGCUAAAGAUGUACUACAAAGUUUGAGAAACAACAGAAGAGGGAUCGCUAUUGCAGUUGCAACUGGUAUGGGUGUUUCUGCUCUAGGCUUAUUUGCACUCAUGCUCUUACUGUUGAUUUGGACAAACAAAGUGUUGAGCUCUGGUCAAAUAAUCAAUGAAUCCCAGGUUUGUACUGGAAUCAUGGCAUUUAGAUACAAUGAUUUACAACGGGCAACAAAAAAUUUCACAGAUAAGUUGGGGGGAGGCAGUUUUGGCUCUGUAUUCAAGGGGCUUAUAAAGGGCUCAAAUGCCAUAGCAGUGAAGAGGCUUGAUGGUGCUUAUCAAGGAGAGAAGCAAUUCAGAGCUGAAGUGAGCUCAAUUGGAGCUGUCCAGCACAUAAAUUUAGUUAAGCUUGUUGGUUUCUGUUGUGAGGGCUCCAAGAGGUUGCUUGUUUAUGAAUACAUGUCAAAUCGCUCUCUUGAUGUCCAUCUAUUUCGAAGCAGUUCAGUUUUGAAUUGGACUGCUAGGUAUCAGAUAGGCCUAGGAGUUGCAAGAGGAUUAGCCUACUUGCAUGACAGCUGCCGAGACUGCAUCAUACACUGUGAUAUCAAGCCAGAAAACAUACUUCUUGAUGCUUCACUCCUUCCAAAAAUUGCAGACUUCGGGAUGGCAAAACUCUUAGGAAGGGAUUAUAGCCGAGUAUUGACAACAAUGAGAGGAACUACAGGGUACCUUGCGCCUGAAUGGCUGACGGGAGUUCACAUUACACCAAAAGUCGAUGUUUUUAGCUACGGGAUGGUGUUGCUGGAAAUAGUAUCUGGAAGGAGGAACUCAUGUGCUUUAUAUCCUAGUGAUGGCAACCCUGAUGUUUAUUUUCCUGUGCAUGCCGCACAUAAGCUUAUUGAAGGAGACGUUGGGAGUUUGGUAGAUCACAAGCUACAUGGUACUGCCAAUCUGGAUGAGGUUGAAAUUGCUUGCAAGGUUGCGUGUUGGUGCCUCCAAGACAAUGAGCUUGAUCGGCCAACAAUGGGACAGGUGGUUCAGAUUCUCGAAGGGCUAGUUGAGAUCACAAUGCCCCCGAUACCAAGACUGCUCCAAGCUAUGGCUGGAAGCUCACAUUCAACAUGUUCGUUUUUUGUUUCAGGAAAACGAGCUGCAUUGCGCACUUUGGCAUUAUAA